This 264-nucleotide ribosomal RNA is filed under the name uncultured bacterium. RNAcentral describes it as "partial 16S ribosomal RNA". It matches the Rfam family "Bacterial small subunit ribosomal RNA", at positions 337 to 618 of the family's 1533-position model. The record is from RNAcentral.
GCCUACGGGAGGCAGCAGUGGGGAAUAUUGCACAAUGGGCGAAAGCCUGAUGCAGCGACGCCGCGUGAGUGAAGAAGAAUUUCGGAAUGUAAAGCUCUAUCAGCAGGGAAGAAAAUGACGGUACCUGACUAAGAAGCCCCGGCUAACUACGUGCCAGCAGCCGCGGUAAUACGUAGGGGGCAAGCGUUAUCCGGAUUUACUGGGUGUAAAGGGAGCAUAGACGGCGAAGAAAGUCUGAAGUGAAAACGCAGGGUUCAACCCUGG